UUCCUCUUCGUUUUUUUCUCCUCUUUCUAUUCUAAACAACUGAAAUUUAUAAGAUCCGUCGCUGCAACAGAAUCUUCACCUCCGUUUCAAGGAAUUUGUGGGCAAUCAAUGACGGAGAUGAAGAAUUGAGUUGGUUGUUUUCACUUCCUCGAUUAGUUCAAAGAGGAAAAUUUACAAGUCUCUGAAGUUCAGUUCAUUAGUUUCAAGUAUGGAUUUUGCUAUAAUCGAGGUUGACUGAUAUCAGCUAAGGUAUGUAGUAGAGAUGCACUUAACUUCAUGGCAACAUGGUUUAAAAUUGCUGAUUAAAGGGCGUGUGAUGCUAAAUUAAGAGGAUUCAUCCCUUUUUCAUCCCAUUCAUGGGUCAUAAAGAAAGUUCUACAAGAGUUCUGUAGCAUGAUGAUCGUCUUGGGCUGCAGUUAGUCUGGUGCGACAGGAACCGUUCAGAUGAAGAUGAUUCAAACAUAUCUUGGCCUUUAAGGUGACACUGCAAGGUGGAUCAAAGGCAGACACCGUUGAUACUGGGGCUGCUGCGAGCUACUAUGAGUGUCCUUUGUUUGUUAACGGUUGCGGCGAUAUAUUGGUGGACACUAAAACUGGAAAUUACAUGGGCACCGGGGACAGAUAGUUUUGAAAGGCAGACACCACUGUUUUGUUGCUUUUACUACACUUCACAUUUUGUGGAUUUGUGCUUGAGAAACUUGAUUGGGAACACUUGCUGCAAAGUGUAUGUAUACAAGAACUCUGGUAAUUUAUAAAAAGAUUUUUCAAGAAA
Papaver somniferum (opium poppy) is the source of this 772-nucleotide long non-coding RNA. RefSeq lists it as uncharacterized. The record is from RefSeq and is a predicted model, not a curated record. The transcript has 4 exons. Lineage: Eukaryota; Viridiplantae; Streptophyta; Magnoliopsida; Ranunculales; Papaveraceae.